ACCAGACUCCUACGGGAGGCAGCAGUGGGGGAUAUUGCACAAUGGGGGGAACCCUGAUGCAGCGACGCCGCGUGAGUGAAGAAGUAAUUCGUUAUGUAAAGCUCUAUCAGCAGGGAAGAAUAAAUGACGGUACCUGAGUAAGAAGCCCCGGCUAACUACGUGCCAGCAGCCGCGGUAAUACGUAGGGGGCAAGCGUUAUCCGGAUUUACUGGGUGUAAAGGGGGCGCAGACGGCAGCGCAAGCCAGGAGUGAAAGCCCGGGGCCCAACCCCGGGACUGCCCUUGGAACUGCGCGGCUGGAGUGCAGGAGGGGCAGGCGGAAUUCCUGGUGUAGCGGUGAAAUGCGUAGAUAUCAGGAGGAACACCGGUGGCGAAGGCGGCCUGCUGGACUGCGACUGACGUUGAGGCCCGAAAGCGUGGGGAGCAAACAGGAUUAGAUACCCGCGUAU
Molecule: ribosomal RNA, 448 nt
Filed under: uncultured bacterium
Lineage: Bacteria
Description: partial 16S ribosomal RNA
Rfam family: Bacterial small subunit ribosomal RNA
Source: RNAcentral